UGAUUCUUGAAGAGAUUUCCGAAAAUGCAAACAAACACCAUAUUUAAACAAUUCUAGAAGUGGGAUGCUAAGAGGAAAUGCAUCCAUUCUGUCUCUAAAUUGAGAAAUAAACCCUUCAGAUAAUCAUUCAAACUCUACUUAAUUCCAUAUAUUUUCCUCAUUGACAGCUUACGCAGCUCAAUUAUACGAAAUGCCAGGCACUGACUUGGCUUCUGAUCCAAAGUCAGAUUGUGAAAACACAGUUUCAAGUGAAACAUUGCACGACUCCCAGAUUUCCCAUCUUGACAAAAACAAGCAUUUAAACCAACUCUAAGAUCCAGAUCUCCAAAGA
This 331-nucleotide unclassified non-coding RNA is filed under the name Hevea brasiliensis (rubber tree). The record is from RNAcentral. Lineage: Eukaryota; Viridiplantae; Streptophyta; Magnoliopsida; Malpighiales; Euphorbiaceae.